Long non-coding RNA from Dreissena polymorpha, 3744 nucleotides. RefSeq lists it as uncharacterized. NCBI's taxonomy places the organism in Eukaryota, Metazoa, Mollusca, Bivalvia, Myida, Dreissenidae. The record is from RefSeq and is a predicted model, not a curated record. The transcript has 2 exons.
ACCGGUUGCUCUCGUCUCCAAAUAAUAUAUCGUAGUUUUGACGUCAUAAUGCAUAUGACGUUGUAAUCCGAAUUCAGCCGAAACGAUGUCCUUAGUUACUAAAAGGUAAUUACAGGAUAAAGACGAGUUUUAAGCGCUCUCGAUUUUUUUUGAAUUUACGCUUAAUUUCAAGAAUUUCUUUGAUAUUGAAGCUUGAGCCCUGCCAUACAAUAUGGAUAAAGGCGUCAGCUUAUGUCGACAGCGAGAUCAGCAAAAAGCAGAAUCGAAAGGUGGGUUCUUUAGCUUGAGGCAACUCCCAUUACGUGCCUGUCCAAAUGACGAACACGCAAGGAGCAUGGAGAUGUUCAGGUGAUACUGUGAGUGUUGUAUCGUGACAUCGGAAAUAGACCCGGAAGUGGCCAAAUGGGUUCUUACUUCAAGGAAUGCAUCAAGGUAUUGCCAAGUGGUAAAUGCUCACUGCUCAAGGAUACCAUCCCCACAGUUCCGGGCCAUGACUUAGCGAUGGUGUAUAGCGUUAUUUCGUCAACUGCAGCGGAGAGGUUGGUUUAAUCCAGUGGCAUGAACACCUUAAAUAGGCCGUGGUCAAUGUCGACCGAAGUAUCUGGUCACAAACCUUCGGUCAGUUGUCGAAUCGGCAUAACAGUUGAUUUUAUCACGUAAGGCAGAUGCUGUAAACACGGCAAUCGUGGAACUAAGCAUUUCCUUGUUCUUGUGUGUUGAACAUACGCCGUGGUAACCGUGUUGUAUGAAAGGAUGUUGUUUGUUCAAUCGUUUUAAGCUAAUCUAUACCGAUGCCUUUAUUUGAAAAAAUAAGAACGAUAUUAUGAUCAAUUUGUUAGUGUUUUUCACGAUGUCAAUCAUAAUCCUAGAACAAACCGUUAAAACUUGUUUGAAGGACCGAUUAUUGAUGAUGCAUAUUAUUGAAACAAUUGGAAUGAUAAUACAUUUUUGUUCUCUCAGGUAUAAAUAUAAUGCUGGCAUACAGUACACGGAAGGGAUGUCAGUUGAAUAAAACUUAAGGAAAAACAGAACUAAUUCAUUAUUUUUUACUUAAUUCUCAGGCCCGUAGCCAGGGUUUUGAAAAGGGGGGGGGGAUGGUGCGAAAUUUAUUUUCCCAUCAACGAAUGUUAUUUAGGAACGAAGUGGCGAAGGGGGUAGUUGCGGGAGGGGGUGUUCCCACCCUGCAAUCGGGGGUUUAAAGGUCCUACCCGUACAAACAUUUUGAAAAUGAAACGUAAAACACUACAUUCUGGUGACAUUUUAACUGUAUUUAGAGACUGAAGUUAUAGAGCAUUUUUAUAUAAAAUUUCCCUUUCAUUGACCAUACUCAGUGACUGAUCGACAUGUAUAUGAUACAACAUACAUGUAUUUCCCAUUAUCGUUAAUCAUUUACCACCUUUAUCGACCAGUAACAGAAAUUCAUAUUAUACGGCGUUUAACCCGACACUAGUAUGCGAGCACAUACUUUGUUUACGUAUGCACCAACACAUUUUUAGAAAGUUAAACCAACAAUAAGAACGAUAUAAAAUAUCAUUAUUUAUUGGAAUCUUGAUAAAAUUAGUGUAUUUUACCAUUCCAAAAUUUUACCAUUCAUUAGUCAAGCAAAUUAAUAGGAAAUAUUUGACUUUGUUCAAAACAUUUGUUUGUCUGCUACUAUGGAUAGUAUCGGAGGCCUAGCAUUGCUCCAAACGUGCUAAUAAUGUAUUGCACAACAAACACUGUUUAACAAAACUGGGUCAUCUCUAAUUUGCAUCAAUACCAGGAUGCAGGAUCACGUGACUUUGUUAAUGGAAGUCAACACACUAGUUAGUGCUGCUUUUUUGUCCCCUACCGGUUUCACCGGAGGGGACUUAUGGUUUGCACUCCGUCUGUCAGUCUGUAAGUCUGUCUGUCUGUCAGUCAGUCAGUCUGUCUGUCAGUCCGUCACACUUUUCUGGAUCCUGCGAUAACUUUUAAAGUUCUUCAUACUUUUUCAUGAAACUUGAAAUAUGGAUAGAUGGCAAUAUUGACAUUAUGCACGACAUUUCAUUUUGUUCAUAUGUCAAAAAUUAUGGUUACUAUGACAACAAAUAGAUUAGAAAUACUGCUGAAAAUGAUGGCUUUCUGGAUCCUGCGAUAACUUUAAAAGUUCUUAAUAUUUUUUCUUGAAACUUGCAACAUGGAUAAAUGGCAACAUGGACAUUAUGCACAUCAUUUCUUUUGUUCCUACGUCAAAAAUUGUGGUUGCUAUGGCAACCAAAAAACAAAACAAAACAUCUGAAAAUGGUGGAAUUUCUGACAAUGGUGGAGCCGGUAGGGGACCAUAUUUCUUGACAAUAGCUUUGUUUCCAAAUAACUUUGUAAAACAAUUUUUCUUAAGAAUUUCAACUAGUGCAUAAGCUAUAGAUUUUUUAGCUGCGUGAAAUACAUCAGAAUUACUUUAUAUAAUAAGCAUGUUUUCUUUUAAAAAAAAAUUCGUUUAUACUGCACAAAUAUCCUUCAUGCAAAUUGAAUUUUUGUCACCGAUUUCAGACGUAUUUCUCAAGGAUCGGCACAAACUGCAAGAAAAACUUUCUUUUAUGCACUAAAGAUUUUUGCAAUUGUACUUCAAUAACGUGACAUAUUUGUAAGAAUAAAGAUCUGAACGGUGUGUUUAAAUUCUGCCCAGCCCGUGUGUAAAUACCUGAAAACCAGGCUUAUUCUGCACCCUGAAUACUAAACAGAAACAAAAUGGCAUAACUGGUUACUUUUACUUUUGUCAAGUAUUUUUAACAAAUUAGUUAUCUGUUUUCUGAACGAAUUUCAGAAACAUAUAAAACUUAAGGCUUGAUAAAGACCCUAUAACCACAAACUACUGGCCCUUUGGUCUCAAAGUCCUUAACAGUGUAUACAAGGACACUGAAAAAAGGACGUAUUUGCCCAUUAUGCUCAAGAUACGUCAAAAUUAAUGAACAUUAAACAUUAACGUCCACCUGAUGAAAUGUUACAGCGGUUUAAAUUCAUUAUAACAGAUAGAUUUUCUCACAUGUUGCUGUCAAAAAUUCUAUUGAUUUCAGCAAUUCUGCGGUUAAAAAUUGCAAAUAAAAAUCACGGUCUAUCUUCGAAUUGACUUCAUAGAGAAAUUUAACUACUAGUAUAUGGUUACCUGUCGGUAGCUUAAUGAAUUCAACAUUAUUGUAACGCUUAAAUACGAAGACUUGCUGGAUUAAGGGAAAAUAUAAAUAACCGUUUUUGCGUCGAAUAAAGUUGGGUGCAACUGAUAGUACAAAUUCAAAAAACAUUGGGUGCGAACGCCGCAAACGCACCCUCCUGGCUACGGUUAUGCCUUCUGCUAUUAUUUUCUUACUGAGAAAAGGAUAUAUAUUUGUUAACAGCUGAUAAGUGAGAAGCUUAUGACGUCAUAGACACACGGAUUGGGAAAUGGAUUUUAUGUGUUUUGUUAUCAAACACAUUGUUCUCUGAAUUAUUGCACCUGCAACGUAUCACUAGCAAGAACUCUGAAACAUUGACAUGUGUAAUUUCAUAAUUAUAAAUUAACUUAUUAUUUUGUAGAUACUAUUAUUGUUUAUUUUUUAUGGUUUAUAUUCAUUUUUUAAUACAAUAGUCUACAUCCUGGGAAGAACCAGUACUUACAACCGAUCAUUUGACUGUGGUAUUUAAUUAAGAGAUUUACUAGUCUGUUCAAUUUUCAGACUUAUUGCACCUUGUUGGUGUUCAUGAAGAAUUUUUUAGUGCGAUGUGAGAUUAAAUAUCCGUACAAACCAA